GACCUAAAUCGAUUUUUAUGUUUGUUCUGCUUUUAAUUGUUUCUGGAAAAGUGAUUUGUAGUCCAAAGUGGCUUUCUGUGUUAUAGGUGCUAUGUUAUAUAAUACUGUUCUUACUAAAAGGUCAUUAUUUACUUAUUUAUGAUAGUCACAGAGAGAGAAAGAGAGAGAGGCAGAGACACAGGCAGAGGGAGAAGCAGGCUCCAUGCACCGGGAGCCCGAUGUGGGAUUCAAUCCCGGGUCUCCAGGAUCGCGCCCCAGCCAAAGGCAGGCACCAAACCGCUGCGCCACCCAGGGAUCCCCUAAAAGGUCAUUUUUGCUUGUUUUGAUUUUUUAAAAAAUUUCGGAUCCAGGUUAUGUUUAUUUUAAUUUUUCAUUUUAUUUCUUUUUAAAGUUUUUCUUCCUCUUAUUUCUCCUGCUUUAGCAACCCUCCAUCAUCUGCCAGAGGAAUGGGAAGGAAUGAGGGCACUUAGUUUAUUCUUUUUAAAAGUUUUCCAAACCAAUUGGCUGGAUAUCGUCAGAAGAGUCACCUUUUCCCUGCUGCCUGACGGAAUCAACUAUUUACAACAAGCCCAGGCCAGCCAGAACUACUCGCGAAGAGCAUAUAGACUUACUGAAGUUGAAACUACAACAAAGCAAGAUUAUUCUAGAGACAUGAAGUCUGAGUUUUGGCUUCAGGAAAUAUCACUUUGAAAUUACUCUCUAGGUAGAAUUAAAUAAGAGUUUGAAAUAUGUAUUUAAAAUGAAUGAAGUUGCUAUAUACUCAAUAGAACUCAUUGCCAAAGGAUUUUAAAAACAUUUUGGUUACUGUUGUUUUAAAUGCUUUAAGAAUGUUUGAAACUGAAUUGUGGAACUACCUUAUAAUGAAGGCUUUAAAAGAACAUGGUCUUUCCCUGCUGUGAAAAUGUGAUUUUUAUUAUAAGUUGAUUAUGAGAAAGCUGUUAACUAGUGAUAUUUAACCUGUGUCUGACUGAAAAGAUAAAAUUACUUAACUGUCUGCCUAUAAAAAGAAAAUAAACUGUCAAUGCCAAAUUAUGAAUCA
Molecule: long non-coding RNA, 1039 nt
Filed under: Canis lupus dingo (dingo)
Lineage: Eukaryota; Metazoa; Chordata; Mammalia; Carnivora; Canidae
Description: lncRNA (ENSCAFG00020026932.1)
Source: RNAcentral